UACGUAGGGGGCUAGCGUUGUCCGGAAUUAUUGGGCGUAAAGAGCUUGUAGGCGGUUUGUCGCGUCUGCUGUGAAAUUUCGGGGCUCAACCCCGAACUUGCAGUGGGUACGGGCAGACUGGAGUGCGGUAGGGGAGAAUGGAAUUCCUGGUGUAGCGGUGGAAUGCGCAGAUAUCAGGAGGAACACCGAUGGCGAAGGCAGUUCUCUGGGCCGUAACUGACGCUGAGGAGCGAAAGCGUGGGGAGCGAACAGG
Molecule: ribosomal RNA, 253 nt
Filed under: uncultured bacterium
Lineage: Bacteria
Description: partial 16S ribosomal RNA
Rfam family: Bacterial small subunit ribosomal RNA
Source: RNAcentral